This 443-nucleotide ribosomal RNA is filed under the name uncultured bacterium. RNAcentral describes it as "partial 16S ribosomal RNA". It matches the Rfam family "Bacterial small subunit ribosomal RNA", at positions 338 to 795 of the family's 1533-position model. The record is from RNAcentral.
CCUACGGGAGGCAGCAGUGGGGAAUAUUGCACAAUGGGGGAAACCCUGAUGCAGCGACGCCGCGUGAGUGAAGAAGUAUCUCGGUAUGUAAAGCCCUAUCAGCAGGGAAGAAAGAAAUGACGGUACCUGACUAAGAAGCCCCGGCUAACUACGAGCCAGCAGCCGCGGAAAUACGUAGGGGGCAAGCGUUAUCCGGAUUUACUGGGUGUAAAGGGAGCGUAGACGGCGAUGCAAGUCUGAAGUGAAAGGCGGGGGCCCAACCCCCGGACUGCUUUGGAAACUGUAUGGCUGGAGUGCAGGAGAGGUAAGUGGAAUUCCUAGUGUAGCGGUGAAAUGCGUAGAUAUUAGGAGGAACACCAGUGGCGAAGGCGGCUUACUGGACUGUAACUGACGUUGAGGCUCGAAAGCGUGGGGAGCAAACAGGAUUAGAUACCCCUGUAGUC